This 1511-nucleotide long non-coding RNA is filed under the name Homo sapiens (human). RNAcentral's name for it is "HSALNT0066732". Lineage: Eukaryota; Metazoa; Chordata; Mammalia; Primates; Hominidae. The record is from RNAcentral.
CUGUGCGUGCGGAGGCCGCCCAAGUGCAGCCUUGGCUCUGUGUGGGGACCAGGGGGCCUGGAGCCGGCCCCAGCUGUCCUCCCACAGGCCCCUUUCUUCUCACGCUCAGCUGCACGAGGCCCCACCAGGCCUGGCCUCCUCCGACGCUAUGACGCAGUGUCGGUGCCUCUCACGUCCAUGGGCCAGACCGUGUGACUCAGCCUCUCAGGGCUCUGCGCGGGCCAAGCUUCCAGGUCCACGUCACCUCCAUCAAGGCAGGAGAGGAGGGCCAGGUCCGCAUCACCUCCAUCAAGGCAGGAGAGGAGGGCCAGGUCCGCGUCACCUCCAUCAAGGCAGGAGAGGAGGGCCAGGUCCGCGUCACCUCCAUCAAGGCAGGAGAGGAGGGGCUUCCUCAGCGACCUCAGCAAAGGAAGCAGGUGUCUUUGCUCUCCACUCCCAAACCCAGGCCAUGUGGGAUGCAGGAGAGAGAGCCACAGACUCUGCCUUCUCCUCUCCCACCCACCCCUAAGGCCUCUCACUCCCUCAGGCUGAUGGGUUCUGACUGAGACUUUUUUCUCUCUCCUUUUUUUUUUUUUUUUUUUUAGAUGGGAGUCUUGCUCUGUUGCCCAGGCUGGAGUGCAGUGGUGUGAUCUCGGCUCACUGCAACCUCCAACCCCCAGGUUCAAGGGAUCUCUUGCCUCAGCCUCCCGAGUAGCUGGGAUUACAAGCAUGUGCCACCGUGACCAGCUGAUUUUUGUAUUUUUAGUAGAGAUGGGGUUUCGCCAUGUUGGCCAGGCUGAUCUCGAACUCCUGACCUCAGGUGAUCCACCCACCUCGGCCUUCCACCGCACCCAGCCCUGACUGGGACUGUUAACAGCUUUACCCAAACAGGGACCGAAGGAGAGGCUGACAGUGUUAUUCAGGAGCACAGAUGCACCAGUGACCUGACCUUGGAGGCAUCCCACACGCCCUCAGUCCCCCGGCGGGCCCUGCCACCACCCCUCAGCGUUGCCGGAUGUGCGGCUGAGGUCCAAGGUUUGGAGAGUUUCCGGGACUGGCCGGGUCACCCUGCGGCUCGGCCGUGUCUGGCAGCCCCACCCUUCCUGGCAGCCAGGCCCUCUGAAAUUCCGCCAGCACCGGGGGACGAAGAAGGUCUUGCUAGGAUGGGGGAGGGCGGGAAGACGGGGAGCACGAGCCGGCUUUGCCCUCCCAUCCAGCCACGCGGAGAAUCCAUCCCUGGCGGUGCCGACUGCUCCUGCUAGUGGGGAAGGAAGCUCCUCCCGGCACCAGGACCGAGCGCCUCCACCAGGCCUGCUAGAGGAUCACACCUCCAUCUCACCAUAGAGCCCCCCACAGCCGAAAAAGCCCUCCCACAUCCAGUUCCCCCAGACACUUGGUGGCUUUUCAGGAGACACGGUUCUAACACCCAUUUCACAGAGAAGAGCACUGAGUCCGUCUCUGGCCGUGAGGCUAUGGCAGGGCUGGGACUGGAAGCAGGGCCUUUCAUUUGACUUCUUGUAGGUUUCUUCCGG